Molecule: ribosomal RNA, 183 nt
Filed under: Triticum aestivum (bread wheat)
Lineage: Eukaryota; Viridiplantae; Streptophyta; Magnoliopsida; Poales; Poaceae
Description: partial small subunit ribosomal RNA
Source: RNAcentral
UUGGUGACCCAGGUGCAACUACAAGACAACCACCUCGACACCAUCACUUGGAAGCUCACCACCUCAGGGCAUUAUUCGGCGGCCACUGCAUACAAGGCACAGUUUUGCGGCAUCAUGGCUUCUAGCUUCAAGAGCAUGAUUUGGAAGAACUGGGCACCGCCAAAAUGCAAGUUCUUUGCCUAG